UGAGGAAUAUUGGUCAAUGGACGCAAGUCUGAACCAGCCAAGUAGCGUGCAGGAUGACGGCCCUAUGGGUUGUAAACUGCUUUUAUAUGGGGAUAAAGUGGGGAACGUGUUCCCUUUUGCAGGUACAAUAUGAAAACGGACCGGCUAAUUCCGUGCCAGCGGCCGCGGUAAUACGGAAGGUUCGGGCGUUAGCCGGAUUUAUUGGGUUUAAAGGGAGCGUAGGCCGUUUGGUAAGCGUGUUGUGAAAUGUAGGAGCUCAACUUCUAGAUUGCAGCGCGAACUGUCAGACUUGAGUGCGCACAACGUAGGCGGAAUUCAUGGUGUAGCGGUGAAAUGCUUAGAUAUCAUGAAGAACUCCGAUUGCGAAGGCAGCUUACGGGAGCGCAACUGACGCUGAAGCUCGAAGGUGCGGGUAUCGAACAGG
This 424-nucleotide ribosomal RNA is filed under the name Verrucomicrobiota bacterium. Its description in RNAcentral is "Verrucomicrobia bacterium partial 16S ribosomal RNA". It matches the Rfam family "Bacterial small subunit ribosomal RNA", at positions 355 to 776 of the family's 1533-position model. The record is from RNAcentral. Lineage: Bacteria; Pseudomonadati; Verrucomicrobiota.